GACGAACGCUGGCGGCGUGCUUAACACAUGCAAGUCGAACGGAAAGGCCAUGCUUUUGUGGGGUGCACGUGUGGCGAACGGGUGUGUAUAACGCGAGUAACCUGCCCUUGACUUUGGGAUAACUUUUCGAAACUCGGGCUAAUAUCGGAUAGGAGAUCCUGCUCCAUGGUGGGCGUUGGAAAGUUUCGGCGGUGUGGGAUGGAAUAGCGGCUUACCCGCUUGAUGGUGGGGUAGUGGAUUACCAAGCCUUUGAAGGGUAGCCGGCCUGAGAGGGGGGCCAGCCACCAUGGGACUGAGAGACGGACCAGACGCCAACGGGAGGCAGCAGUGGAGAGUAUUACACAAUGAGCGGGAGCCAGAUGCGGCAACGCCGCGUGCGGGAAGCCGUCCUUCGGGUUGUAAACCGCUUUCGCCUGAGACGAAGCGUGAUUGACGGUAAUUAGUAAAGAAGCACCGGCUAACUACGUG
RNAcentral lists this ribosomal RNA (468 nucleotides) under uncultured bacterium. RNAcentral describes it as "partial 16S ribosomal RNA". It matches the Rfam family "Bacterial small subunit ribosomal RNA", at positions 28 to 507 of the family's 1533-position model. The record is from RNAcentral.